Molecule: ribosomal RNA, 472 nt
Filed under: uncultured bacterium
Lineage: Bacteria
Description: bacterial SSU rRNA
Rfam family: Bacterial small subunit ribosomal RNA
Source: RNAcentral
CGCUGGCGGCAGGCCUAACACAUGCAAGUCGAGCGGUAGCACAGAGAGCUUGCUCUCGGGUGACGAGCGGCGGACGGGUGAGUAAUGUCUGGGAAACUGCCUGAUGGAGGGGGAUAACUACUGGAAACGGUAGCUAAUACCGCAUAACGUCGCAAGACCAAAGAGGGGGACCUUCGGGCCUCUUGCCAUCAGAUGUGCCCAGAUGGGAUUAGCUAGUAGGUGGGGUAACGGCUCACCUAGGCGACGAUCCCUAGCUGGUCUGAGAGGAUGACCAGCCACACUGGAACUGAGACACGGUCCAGACUCCUACGGGAGGCAGCAGUGGGGAAUAUUGCACAAUGGGCGCAAGCCUGAUGCAGCCAUGCCGCGUGUAUGAAGAAGGCCCUCGGGUUGUAAAGUACUUUCAGCGAGGAGGAAGGCAUUGUGGUUAAUAACCACAGUGAUUGACGUUACUCGCAGAAGAAGCACCGGC